Molecule: ribosomal RNA, 253 nt
Filed under: uncultured bacterium
Lineage: Bacteria
Description: partial 16S ribosomal RNA
Rfam family: Bacterial small subunit ribosomal RNA
Source: RNAcentral
UACAGAGGGUGCGAGCGUUAAUCGGAAUUACUGGGCGUAAAGCGCGCGUAGGCGGCUUCGCAAGUCGGGUGUGAAAUCCCCAAGCUCAACUUGGGAACUGCAUUCGAGACUGCGUUGCUAGAGUAUGGGAGAGGGAAGUGGAAUUUCAGGUGUAGCGGUGAAAUGCGUAGAUAUCUGAAGGAACAUCAGUAGCGAAAGCGACUUCCUGGACCAAUACUGACGCUCAUGUGCGAAAGCGUGGGGAGCAAACAGG